CAGCCGCCGCGGUAACACCAGCCCCUCGAGUGGUGGGGACUAUUAUUUGGCCUAAAGCGUCCGUAGCCGGCUGCAGCCGUCACCCGUUAAAUCCAGCGUCUCAAGCGUUGGACUGCGGGUGAUACCCUGCAGCUUGAGGGUGGGACAGGUUAGCGGUAUUCCCGGGGUAGGGGCGAAAUCCUUUGAUCCCGGGAGGACCACCAGUGGCGAAGGCUGCUGACUAGAACACGCCUGACGGUCGGGGACGAAAGCUGGGGUAGCGAACCGGAUUAGAUACCCGGGUAGUCCCAGCUGUAAACGAUGCACGCUAGGUGUUGGGUCGGCCACGCGCCGCCCCAGUGCCGCAGGGAAGCCGUUAAGCUAGCCGCCUGGGGAGUACGGCCGCAAGGCUGAAACUUAAAGGAAUUGGCGGGGGAGCAC
RNAcentral lists this ribosomal RNA (420 nucleotides) under uncultured crenarchaeote. RNAcentral describes it as "bacterial SSU rRNA". It matches the Rfam family "Archaeal small subunit ribosomal RNA", at positions 459 to 879 of the family's 1478-position model. Lineage: Archaea; Thermoproteati; Thermoproteota. The record is from RNAcentral.